This is a long non-coding RNA of Cataglyphis hispanica, 827 nucleotides long. RefSeq lists it as uncharacterized. The transcript has 3 exons. The record is from RefSeq and is a predicted model, not a curated record. NCBI's taxonomy places the organism in Eukaryota, Metazoa, Arthropoda, Insecta, Hymenoptera, Formicidae.
UCGCGAUUAACGACAAGUAAACGUACAAGUACUACGAGUAAACGAGGCGACGACCGUUUUUCGCGAUGAGUGAAGUUAGGGUUAGAUUGAGUUAUUUCGCGCGCUUCAUCUUAUUUCAAGUAGGAGUCGUAGAGGAUGGGGACGAUGGGGAAUUAUAGAAUCAUCGUACGAUCAUAGUUUUUGCUUUGUUCCCUCGCAAUAUAAUAACGUGCGUGUCGCGUACAAUUAAUAUCGGGAGUGCCGUGCAAAGUGUCGCGCGAUCGUCGUAUUCUCUCGAUUAGUGCACGAGAUGAUUAUAAUUAAUCGUAUUUCCGGGAGUGUUGUGAGAGUACCAGUGCUACAAAAAAACAGGAAUGAUGAAGGAGAGGAGAGGAGAAAGAAAACCGAGACAUCGGGCGACAGUGGAGUCUCUCCCUCUGAGCAGGAACAUAGGUCAGCACAAUAAUCACAUUGUUUGGCAGAUCGCCCUUUCGAACGAUCUCAACCUGUAACUAUACCCACCUGCUGCCAUAUCUCAUCGAACUGUAACACAAGCUCUCAAUCCCCAGAAGCAAUGAGGCUCCACGAUAAUUGCGAAGUUGACGUUUGUCACAGCCGCAUGAAAGAACACAUGCGAAGACAAGUAUGCGAAUUGAACCGGUUCGACGCAUCUCGCAGCGGAUUGGACGGCUGCGGAAUCAAGCCAAGUUUAAUUCUUAAGCAUUGGUCACGGAACGGGUCCUUAAGUAUCAAGGUCUAAUCGUCGUCAUUUUCGCAAGAGUGGGGAAGGUAGCGCGACGAUUGGAGGCGAGCAUUGCAUAUGCAAAUCUGCUUUGCCCGCUCUCUCG